UUCUUCUGUAAAAGAAAAGAGAAAAAUGUAAAGAGCAACGUUCAAAGUAGGCUACGUUGUGAGAUCUGGUCAAAGUCGUGCAUCUUCGUCAAAAUGAAACGUCAUUUGUCUUGUACGUAAUCAUAUAUUCCUCUUAUACAUUUUAUUAUUACUAUUAUUAUCAAGCGAUUUUAUAUAAGAAUGAAUCGCGCGCGUUUUAUAUUUACAUAAGAAAUCAUGUCGCGUUCCUUAUUGUGCAAUGGCUUAACGAGGAUGAUAAAGAUGAUCUAAAUGUGAGAUAACAUAGGUAAUUCGUAAGAACAUAUUCGAGAGAAUAUUGAUCUUUGUGGAAAAACAGUAAUCUCCUAAUAAUCAUUUUUCAUUUGGUAUCGUUAAAACGUACCGGGCGACGAGAAAUACUCGAUCCACCAUCGAGCCCUCUCCCCACUUUACCAUUUUGUAGUAGCAUCGAUGUUGGCCGUCGAUUCGUCGGACGGAUUCGCUGACUUCGCAUUACUGAGUUUCAAUCUCGAAACGGCCACGUCUUUGCUAAUGUUCUUUUAAUGGUGCUUCUUUUGCAUACGUUACGGUGACUAACUUAAAGAAGAUCUUUACGAAAAAAUGGGUGCAAAUCGAUCAUCUUUCCGACAUAUGCGAGCAAGUACGAGGAUCGGACGAUAAAACUGGGACAAUUCAUCCGAAUGUUACUUUCUUCGUUGAAUAUGCAUACAGCCACUAAGAUGUUACCUGGAUUUUCAUUUUCACUGGGCAUUGGCUGAUGGAUCGUUGUUAACCACAUCGGUGAAAGACUUGAUGCAUCAUUAAGGACGUGGUAAUUUAAAAAUAUCAUUACUGACUCAUUGUCCGGUGUACAGCAGUGUGUAUGCAUGAUCGUUAGAUUGAAUUCUCCCUUUGGUAGACGGCCAAUUAUAUUUUCUUCCUUUUAAAUAAUCCAUAUCUGUAUACAUACGCAGAAUUAGUUGGUUAUAAAAUGCAAAUAUUUAGUUACAUGUAGACUAGACUAGUUUCAAUAAAUCCGUCUUAUAUACGGUUCCUCUGACCAAA
Long non-coding RNA from Vespula pensylvanica (western yellowjacket), 1044 nucleotides. RefSeq lists it as uncharacterized. The transcript is spliced from 2 exons. The record is from RefSeq and is a predicted model, not a curated record. NCBI's taxonomy places the organism in Eukaryota, Metazoa, Arthropoda, Insecta, Hymenoptera, Vespidae.